Molecule: ribosomal RNA, 314 nt
Filed under: uncultured fungus
Lineage: Eukaryota; Fungi
Description: partial small subunit ribosomal RNA
Rfam family: Eukaryotic small subunit ribosomal RNA
Source: RNAcentral
GCUUGUCUCAAAGAUUAAGCCAUGCAUGUCUAAGUAUAAACGAUUUUAUACGUGAAACUGCGAAUGGCUCAUUAUAUCAGUUAUAGUUUAUUUGAUGGUCUUUGCUACUUGGAUAACCGUAGUAAUUCUAGAGCUAAUACAUGCAUCAAUCCUCUAUUUGAGGUGUAUUUAUUAGAUUGUAACCAAAGCGGGGUAACCCGGUAUAUGGUGAUUCAUAAUAACUUUUCGAAUCGCAUGGCCUUGUGCCGGCGAUGGAUCAUUCAAGUUUCUGCCCUAUCAGCUUUGGAUGGUAGUGUAUUGGACUACCAUGGCUU